RNAcentral lists this unclassified non-coding RNA (552 nucleotides) under Zea mays. RNAcentral describes it as "misc RNA Zm00001eb162940". Lineage: Eukaryota; Viridiplantae; Streptophyta; Magnoliopsida; Poales; Poaceae. The record is from RNAcentral.
UGACAGGGCGGAGGAAGAUGACAGGGCGGAGGAAGCUUUGCCACCCCCUCCAUGUGAUCCAGGGUCUGGAGCCACCACGCAGCUGAAGCCCAAAAGGAUCAUCAGUAGGUCAGUAAGCAUCGCACAACAGGAAGAGGAGCUCAGCCGGGCGUUGUUGAUCAAUGUCACGGCGCCGAGCCAAGAUGAUGUCGCAGCGGCCAUCCUAGAAAACUUCUCUCGAUGGCUGCGAGUUGAAGAAUUUCGACUAACUAUGCUUCGUUGUGGCCCUAGGAGUUCCAUCCUCCUCCUGCCCAGCUUGGAGGCAGCGGUCAUGGCCUACAAUGGCGGAUUGCCGGUUACAAUUUCUCCAUCUACAAGGCUCCAUAUCAUGAAAUGGUCAUGUUUUUUGAGCUCCAGUGCUUCUUCUUUGCCAAACCCAGUUGAGGUGGAAUUGAGAGGCAUCCUGGCACACGCUUGGGAUCUGGCAACGGUUGAAACUCUCCUGAAUGACUUCUGCUGGAUCACUGUCAUUCACCCAGAUUUCGAAAACCAACGUGAAGUGUUCAAGGUGGC